GCAACGAUAGCUUAAUUAUAAAAGCAUUGGUCUUGUAAGCCAAAGAUGAAUUGAACAUUCUCGUUGCU
RNAcentral lists this transfer RNA (68 nucleotides) under Conus tulipa (tulip cone). RNAcentral describes it as "tRNA-Thr". It matches the Rfam family "tRNA". Rfam says of the family: Transfer RNA (tRNA) molecules are approximately 80 nucleotides in length. Their secondary structure includes four short double-helical elements and three loops (D, anti-codon, and T loops). Lineage: Eukaryota; Metazoa; Mollusca; Gastropoda; Neogastropoda; Conidae. The record is from RNAcentral.